GAUUAUGGCUCAGGAUGAACGCUAGCUACAGGCUUAACACAUGCAAGUCGAGGGGCAGCGGGAAGGAAGCUUGCUUCUUGCCGGCGACCGGCGCACGGGUGAGUAACGCGUAUCCAACCUGCCCGCGGCUCAGGGAUAGCCUCGUGAAAACGAGAUUAAUACCUGAUGGUCUUGGAGGCUGACAUCGGUUUCCAAGUAAAGAUUUAUCGGCAGCGGAUGGGGAUGCGUUCCAUUAGGUUGUGGCGGGUAACGGCCACCAAGCCGACGAUGGAUAGGGGUUCUGAGAGGAAGGUCCCCCCACAUUGGAACUGAGACACGGUCCAAACUCCUACGGGAGGCAGCAGUGAGGAAUAUUGGUCAAUGGGCGAGAGCCUGAACCAGCCAAGUAGCGUGAGGGAUGACUGCCCUAUGGGUUGUAAACCUCUUUUAUACGGGAAUAAAAUGCGCCACGUGUGGUGUUUUGCAUGUACCGUAAGAAUAAGCAUCGGCUAAUUCCGUGCCAGCCGCCGC
This 510-nucleotide ribosomal RNA is filed under the name uncultured bacterium. Its description in RNAcentral is "bacterial SSU rRNA". It matches the Rfam family "Bacterial small subunit ribosomal RNA", at positions 15 to 518 of the family's 1533-position model. The record is from RNAcentral.